UACGAAGGGGGCUAGCGUUGCUCGGAUUGACUGGGCGUAAAGGGCGCGUAGGCGGUUCGUACAGUCAGACGUGAAAUUCCUGGGCUCAACCUGGGGGCUGCGUUUGAUACGUGCGGGCUUGAGUGCGGAAGAGGGUCGUGGAAUUCCCAGUGUAGAGGUGAAAUUCGUAGAUAUUGGGAAGAACACCGGUGGCGAAGGCGGCGACCUGGUCCGAUACUGACGCUCAUACACGACAGCAUGGGGAGCGAACGGG
This 253-nucleotide ribosomal RNA is filed under the name uncultured bacterium. Its description in RNAcentral is "partial 16S ribosomal RNA". It matches the Rfam family "Bacterial small subunit ribosomal RNA", at positions 524 to 776 of the family's 1533-position model. The record is from RNAcentral.